RNAcentral lists this ribosomal RNA (292 nucleotides) under uncultured bacterium. Its description in RNAcentral is "partial 16S ribosomal RNA". It matches the Rfam family "Bacterial small subunit ribosomal RNA", at positions 505 to 796 of the family's 1533-position model. The record is from RNAcentral.
GUGUCAGCAGCCGCGGUAAUACGGGGGGAGCAAGCGUUACUCGGAAUUAUUGGGCGUAAAGGGCGCGUAGGCGAUCCUGUAAGUCUCGUGUGAAAUCCCAGGGCUUAACCCUGGAAUGGCAUGAGAAACUGCGGGAUUUGAGUUCCGGAGAGGAGGGCAGAAUUCCCGGUGUAGCGGUGAAAUGCGUAGAUAUCGGGAGGAAUACCAGUGGCGAAGGCGGCCUUCUGGACGGAUACUGACGCUGAGGCGCGAAAGCCAGGGGAGCAAACGGGAUUAGAUACCCUAGUAGUCC